This 895-nucleotide ribosomal RNA is filed under the name Cladophialophora sp. M1065-OL. RNAcentral's name for it is "eukaryotic LSU rRNA". It matches the Rfam family "Eukaryotic large subunit ribosomal RNA", at positions 40 to 962 of the family's 3401-position model. Lineage: Eukaryota; Fungi; Ascomycota; Eurotiomycetes; Chaetothyriales; Herpotrichiellaceae. The record is from RNAcentral.
AUAUCAAUAAGCGCAGGAAAAGAAACCAACAGGGAUUACCUCAGUAACGGCGAGUGAAGCGGUAAUAGCUCAAAUUUGAAAUCUGGCCUCUUGGGGUCCGAGUUGUAAUUUGUAGAGGAUGUUUUGGGUACCGCCCCGGUCUAAAUUUCUUGGAACAGAAUGUCAAAGAGGGUGAGAAUCCCGUCUUGGACCGGCGGUAGGGCCUGUGUAAAACUCCUUCGACGAGUCGAGUUGUUUGGGAAUGCAGCUCAAAAUGGGUGGUAAAUUUCAUCUAAAGCUAAAUAUUGGCCAGAGACCGAUAGCGCACAAGUAGAGUGAUCGAAAGAUGAAAAGCACUUUGAAAAGAGAGUUAAACAGUAUGUGAAAUUGUUGAAAGGGAAGCGCUUGCAACCAGACUUGAGCGCGGCGGUUCCCCCGGUCUUUUGGCCGGGCUACUCCGUCGUGUCCAGGCCAACAUCGGUUCUGAGGGUCGGUCAAAGGCCUUGGGAAUGUAUCUACCCACGGGUAGACUUAUAGACCAGGGUGUCAGCGGCCUCUCGGGACCGAGGAACGCGCUUCGGCUCGGAUGUUGGCGUAAUGGUUGUCAGCGACCCGUCUUGAAACACGGACCAAGGAGUCUAACAUCUAUGCGAGUGUUUGGGUGUCAAACCCGGAACGCGAAAUGAAAGUGAACGGAGGUAGGAAGCUUCGGCUGCACUAUCGACCGAUCCUGAAGUUUACGGAUGGAUUUGAGUAAGAGCAUAGCUGUUGGGACCCGAAAGAUGGUGACUAUGCCUGAUAGGGUGAAGCCAGAGGAAACUCUGGUGGAGGCUCGCAGCGGAUCUGACGUGCAAUCGAUCGGUCAAUUGGUAUAGGGGGCGAAAGACUUAUCGAACACAUCUCUUGGGUUAGGCCU